CCUACGGGUGGCAGCAGUGAGGAAUAUUGGUCAAUGGUCGGGAGACUGAACCAGCCAAGCCGCGUGAGGGAGGAAGGUACAGAGUAUCGUAAACCUCUUUUGUCAGGGAACAAAGACUGGGACGCGUCCCCGGAUGAGUGUACCUGAAGCAAAAGCAUCGGCUAACUCCGUGCCAGCAGCCGCGGUAAUACGGAGGAUGCGAGCGUUAUCCGGAUUAAUUGGGUUUAAAGGGUGCGCAGGCGGUCUGUUAAGUCAGCGGUAAAAGCCCGGGGCCAACCCCCGGCCCGCCGUUGAAACUGGCAGUCUCGAGUUGGAGAGAAGUAUGCGGAAUGCGAGGUGUAGCGGUGAAAUGCAUAGAUAUCGCGCAGAACUCCGAUUGCGAAGGCAGCAUGCCGGCUCCACACUGACGCUGAGGCACGAAAGCGUGGGUAGCGAACAGGAUUAGAUACCCUAGUAGUC
This 459-nucleotide ribosomal RNA is filed under the name uncultured bacterium. RNAcentral's name for it is "partial 16S ribosomal RNA". It matches the Rfam family "Bacterial small subunit ribosomal RNA", at positions 338 to 795 of the family's 1533-position model. The record is from RNAcentral.